RNAcentral lists this ribosomal RNA (196 nucleotides) under uncultured bacterium. RNAcentral describes it as "partial 16S ribosomal RNA". It matches the Rfam family "Bacterial small subunit ribosomal RNA", at positions 326 to 539 of the family's 1533-position model. The record is from RNAcentral.
ACGCUCGACACCUACGGGGCAGCAGUGGGGAAUAUUGCACAAUGGGGGAAACCCUGAUGCAGCGACGCCGCGUGAAGGAAGAAGUAUCUCGGUAUGUAAACUUCUAUCAGCAGGGAAGAAAGUGACGGUACCUGACUAAGAAGCCCCGGCUAACUACGUGCCAGCAGCCGCGGUAAUCUGAGCGGGCUGGCAAGGC